AGAGUUUGAUCAUGGCUCAGGACGAACGCUGGCGGCGUGCCUAACACAUGCAAGUCUACUUGAAUACCCUGCUUGCAGGGGGCUAAGGUGGCGAACGGGUGAGUAACGCGUAGAUAAUCUGCCAUUCAAUCUAGGAUAACCUCGUGAAAACGUGACUAAUACUGGAUAUCUUCUCGAUACGGCAUCGUAUGAGAAUAAAGACUUUAAGUCGUUGAAUGAUGAGUCUGCGUACCAUUAGCUAGUAGGUAAGGUAACGGCUUACCUAGGCUACGAUGGUUAGCUGGUCUGAGAGGAUGAUCAGCCACACUGGGACUGAGAUACGGCCCAGACUCCUACGGGAGGCAGCAGUGAGGAAUAUUGCACAAUGGGGGCAACCCUGAUGCAGCAACGCCGCGUGUACGAUGAAGCAGUUUAUCUGUGUAAAGUACUGUUAAUCGGGACGAACUAGAAGGUUAGUAGCCUUCUUUGACGGUACCGGUAGAGGAAGCUCCGGCUAACUCCGUGCCAGCAGCCGCGGUAAUACGGGGGGAGCAAGCGUUGUCCGGAAUCAUUGGGCGUAAAGGGCAUGUAGGUUGGACUUUAAGUCAGUUGUUAAAUAUUACGGCUUAA
This 609-nucleotide ribosomal RNA is filed under the name uncultured bacterium. RNAcentral's name for it is "bacterial SSU rRNA". It matches the Rfam family "Bacterial small subunit ribosomal RNA", at positions 8 to 612 of the family's 1533-position model. The record is from RNAcentral.